Molecule: ribosomal RNA, 256 nt
Filed under: uncultured bacterium
Lineage: Bacteria
Description: partial 16S ribosomal RNA
Rfam family: Bacterial small subunit ribosomal RNA
Source: RNAcentral
UACGGGGGGAGCAAGUGUUAUUCAUUUAUACUGGGCGUAAAGGGUGCGUAGGUUGUUAAUUAAGUUUGAAUUGUAAAAUCUAAGCGUAAACUUAGAAAAUAAUUGCCUUUACUAAUUAACUAAGAGGAUGUAGGGAGAUAGUUGUAUUUUUAAAGUAAAGUUAAAAUUUUUAUAUAUUAGAGGGACGAUCGAUGGCGAAAGCAACUUUCUAUAACAUAACUGACGCUGAAGCACGAAAGCAUGGGUAUCCAACAGG